CAGCCGCCGCGGGAAUACCGAGGGUGCGAGCGUUAAUCGGAUUUACUGGGCGUAAAGCGUGCGUAGGCGGCUUCUUAAGUCGGAUGUGAAAUCCCUGAGCUUAACUUAGGAAUUGCAUUCGAUACUGGGAAGCUAGAGUAUGGGAGAGGAUGGUAGAAUUCCAGGUGUAGCGGUGAAAUGCGUAGAGAUCUGGAGGAAUACCGAUGGCGAAGGCAGCCAUCUGGCCUAAUACUGACGCUGAGGUACGAAAGCAUGGGGAGCAAACAGGAUUAGAUACCCGUGUAGUCCCUGUCUCUUAUAC
RNAcentral lists this ribosomal RNA (301 nucleotides) under uncultured bacterium. RNAcentral describes it as "partial 16S ribosomal RNA". It matches the Rfam family "Bacterial small subunit ribosomal RNA", at positions 509 to 807 of the family's 1533-position model. The record is from RNAcentral.